GAGUUUUGAUCAUGGCUCAGGAUGAACGCUGGCGGCGUGCUUAACACAUGCAAGUCGAACGAGGAAUUUUAAAUGAGACUUCGGUGGAUUUAAAAUUCUUAGUGGCGGACGGGUGAGUAACGCGUGGGCAACCUGCCCUGGUACAGGGGGACAACAGCUGGAAACGGCUGCUAAUACCGCAUAAGACCACGGAGCCGCAUGGCUCAGUGGGAAAAACUCCGGUGGUACAGGAUGGGCCCGCGUUGGAUUAGGUAGUUGGUGAGGUAACGGCCCACCAAGCCGACGAUCCAUAGCCGACCUGAGAGGGUGACCGGCCACGUUGGGACUGAGACACGGCCCAAACUCCUACGGGAGG
Molecule: ribosomal RNA, 355 nt
Filed under: uncultured microorganism
Description: bacterial SSU rRNA
Rfam family: Bacterial small subunit ribosomal RNA
Source: RNAcentral